This 254-nucleotide ribosomal RNA is filed under the name uncultured bacterium. RNAcentral describes it as "partial 16S ribosomal RNA". It matches the Rfam family "Bacterial small subunit ribosomal RNA", at positions 524 to 776 of the family's 1533-position model. The record is from RNAcentral.
CACGUAGGCACCAAGCGUUGUCCGGAUUUAUUGGGCGUAAAGAGCUCGUAGGCGGUUCGGUAAGUCGGGGGUGAAAACUUUGGGCUCAACCCAAAGCGUGCACUCGAUACUGCCAUGACUAGAGUUCGGUAGGGGAGUGGGGAAUUCCUAGUGUAGCGGUGAAAUGCGCAGAUAUUAGGAGGAACACCGGUGGCGAAGGCGCCACUCUGGGCCGAAACUGACGCUGAGGAGCGAAAGCGUGGGUAGCAAACAGG